RNAcentral lists this ribosomal RNA (561 nucleotides) under Macrophthalmus sulcatus. RNAcentral describes it as "partial large subunit ribosomal RNA". It matches the Rfam family "Bacterial large subunit ribosomal RNA", at positions 1886 to 2628 of the family's 2925-position model. The record is from RNAcentral. Lineage: Eukaryota; Metazoa; Arthropoda; Malacostraca; Decapoda; Macrophthalmidae.
UUGAUGAUCCUUCUCUACCAGGCACCUGAUAUUUUAAGGGCCGCGGUAUUUUGACCGUGCGAAGGUAGCGUAAUCAUUAGUUUUUUAAUUGGAAUCUUGUAUGAAUGGUUAGACAAGGGAGAAUCUGUCUCUUUAUUAAAAAUUUAAUUUAACUUUUAAGUGAAAAGGCUUAAAUUAAUAAAAGGGACGAUAAGACCCUAUAAAGCUUAAUAUAAAAUGUUAUUCAAUUAAAUUAAAUAUAAGAAUUAUAUAACAUGGAUUAUUUUAUUGGGGCGAUAAGAGUAAAAAGUUUAAUAACUGCUUAAUGGAAAAAACACUUUAGUUGAAAUAAAAUUAUAAAAGAUCCUAAAUAUGGAUUAUAAGUUUAAGUUACUUUAGGGAUAACAGCGUUAUUUUUUUUGAGAGUACAUAUCGAAAAAAGAGUUUGCGACCUCGAUGUUGAAUUAAAAUUUCUUUAUAGAAGCAGAAACUAUAAAAGUUGGUCUGUUCGACCUUUAAAAUUUUACGUGAUCUGAGUUCAGACCGGGGGAUGGGGGGGAGGGAGGAGAGGGGGAAGCAACA